GGGGAAGCCGGUAAAAGCCGGCGCUGACCCGCAACCGUGAGCGAGCCCUGUCUCGCGAGCCGGAAUGCCC
Molecule: non-coding RNA, 70 nt
Filed under: Micromonospora maris
Lineage: Bacteria; Bacillati; Actinomycetota; Actinomycetes; Micromonosporales; Micromonosporaceae
Source: RNAcentral